UAAUACGUAGGGUCCGAGCGUUGUCCGGAAUUAUUGGGCGUAAAGGGCUCGUAGGCGGUUUGUCGCGUCGGGAGUGAAAACACCGGGCUUAACUCGGUGCUUGCUUCCGAUACGGGCAGACUAGAGGUAUGCAGGGGAGAAUGGAAUUCCUGGUGUAGCGGUGAAAUGCGCAGAUAUCAGGAGGAACACCGGUGGCGAAGGCGGUUCUCUGGGCAUUACCUGACGCUGAGGAGCGAAAGUGUGGGGAGCGAACAGGAUUAGAUACCCUGGUAGUCCACACCGUAAACGUUGGGCGCUAGGUGUGGGACCUAUUCCAUGGGUUCCGUGCCGUAGCUAACGCAUUAAGCGCCCCGCCUGGGGAGUACGGCCGCAAGGCUAAAACUUAAAUGAAUUGACGG
This 398-nucleotide ribosomal RNA is filed under the name uncultured bacterium. Its description in RNAcentral is "bacterial SSU rRNA". It matches the Rfam family "Bacterial small subunit ribosomal RNA", at positions 521 to 916 of the family's 1533-position model. The record is from RNAcentral.